RNAcentral lists this ribosomal RNA (468 nucleotides) under uncultured bacterium. Its description in RNAcentral is "partial 16S ribosomal RNA". It matches the Rfam family "Bacterial small subunit ribosomal RNA", at positions 28 to 507 of the family's 1533-position model. The record is from RNAcentral.
GACGAACGCUGGCGGCGUGCUUAACACAUGCAAGUCGAACGGAAAGGCCCGGCUUUUGUGGGGUGCUCGAGUGGCGAACGGGUGAGUAACACGUGAGUAACCUGCCCUUGACUUUGGGAUAACUUCAUGAAACUGGGGCUAAUACCGGCUAGGAGCUCCUGCUGCAUGGUGGGGGUUGGUAAGUUUCGGCGGUUGGGGGUGGACUCGCGGCUUAUCAGCUUGUUGGUGGGGUAGUGUAUUACCAAGGCUUUGACGGGUAGCAGGCCUGGGCGGAUGACCUGCCCAGUCACGCUGGAGCUACGGCACAGCCUCCUCUGGGACGCAGGGGUGGGGAAUGUUACAUAAGGGGCGGAGCGCUGAUGUAGUCCAGCCGCGCCCGGGAUGACGGCAUUGGGGUAGUGAUGUGCUUUCGCCUGUGACGGGGCGUGAGUGACGGUAACGGGUAAAGAAGCACCGGCUAACUCCGUG